This 322-nucleotide ribosomal RNA is filed under the name uncultured eukaryote. Its description in RNAcentral is "partial 18S ribosomal RNA". It matches the Rfam family "Eukaryotic small subunit ribosomal RNA", at positions 1470 to 1796 of the family's 1831-position model. The record is from RNAcentral.
CCCUUAGAUGUUCUGGGCCGCACGCGUGCUACACUGAGUGGAUCAGCGGGUCAGGUUGCGCGAAAGUGUUUCCUAAUCUUGAAAUCCGCUCGUGAUGGGGAUUGACGGUUGCAAUUUUCUGUCAUGAACGAGGAAUGCCUUGUAAGCGCGGGUCAUCAUCCCGCGCUGAAUACGUCCCUGCCCUUUGUACACACCGCCCGUCGCUCCUACCGAUUGAGUGGUCCGGUGAGGCUUUGGGAUCUGGAUGGAAAGAGCGUUUCGCUGUUUCUGCCCGGAAAACUCAGUCGAACCUUAUCAUUUAGAGGAAGGAGAAGUCGUAACA